AGGGCUAGCCGCAAAAUAAGCUAACUUCAAAAUGGGCAGAAACUACUAACUUUUUCAAGCAAGACGGAGAGAGGUAUGAUUGAAAUGAAGUUCAAUCUCGACCUCGACGGAAGGGAUUGGUUCGAGCAGGCUCUCACGCAGUAUAUCGAACCGGGUUUAGCAUCUUUUCACUAGGCAAGGAAGAGAUAGAGUAGCAAAAAGAGUAACGAGCAGAGCCAUUGAAU
Molecule: long non-coding RNA, 224 nt
Organism: Rhodamnia argentea
Lineage: Eukaryota; Viridiplantae; Streptophyta; Magnoliopsida; Myrtales; Myrtaceae
Exons: 3
Source: RefSeq, a predicted model, not a curated record